CCUUUGAGGAUUCUUUCUAACCCAAACUAUUCUAUGAUUUUAUAAAAAAAAGGAUCAGGAAGCAGUGGCAGUCCAAGCUGCUGACAGUGUAGACUCCAUGUGUCAAGGCUGGGCGAGUAGACCUCAGGCUAUGGGCAGCUUGCCUGUUGUGCUCUGUGCACGUCAGGCUGAAGUAAAGCUACUCGUGUGAUACCUGUGAAGUAUGUAGAGAACCUUGGAGCACCACAGAGAAACCCGAAUUCUGUUCCUCCCCUCUGUUAUUAUCCAUAAGGAAGGUUUAAUGCUGUAAAGAAGCAUGGAGACAUUCAACUUACCCCCCCCUCAACCCCCUGCUUUGUUCUUAGUGUUGCUGUAGCUCUUCUUGCAGAACUUGAGACCAUUGAGGUUUCUGGUUAAACCACUUAAAUUAUUCAAGAAUGGCUGAAGGAAGCCUUGUGAUUUCUUAGGAGGGGUUUGAGUACUUGCUUUUACAUGAUCAUUGCGUAGUCCUAUUUGCUUGGUUGUUUUCUUUGUAUUUUCUACUUGCACUUCGUUGUGUCCUCUUCAGGACUAAGCACCACAGAGACCAUUGAGUACUAUUUGUUAGAGUGGUACCAAAAUGUAUACUUGGUUCAACAUUUAAUACUUUUAUGGCAAUUUGGGUCUGUUAAUAUUACUUCUGCUAGACUGGUAAUGGCAAAACUGUCUCUGCAGUUCCCUGCUGGAGUUACUAAAUGAAGAGUUAGUAUAUAACCAAACUCCACAUUUAAACCUUUCCCCUCGCUAGCCAGGAGGAGAUACACCUUGUCAGGAAAUUAUUUUAUUUGUGCAGCAAGUAUAACCCAAAUUGAAUAGUCCCCAAAUCUUUGGUUUGGUAUCUGAUUUGCAUAUAGAUAACUGUAGUACCCAUAAGGAAUUUCAUAAAGACACACAUCACUCAGUACCUGUGUAAAUUGUAGAGUAUGGCAAUUAGUUUCUGUAUAUCAGUUAAAUAUAUUGAUAUUGAUUUUUAAAUAAAUAAUAAAUAAAUGUGCACUCCACGAAAGUUACUUUGGAAACACUCCCAGGAUGUAGAUACACAUGCAGUCCUUCAGCUGGCUAUGCCAGUUCCUAUCCACAAACUUGCUUAUGCUCUGGUACCCUCUAAUUUAUCCCAACAAACUAGUUUGUGGGGCUGCAUGUGAACUGGGUCAUGUAAUUGGGUUAAUAAUGAUGGGCGGGGGACACUGGUUGGUUUUGGUGUCUUGAAUCUGUUUGUUUCCCAGUUCAUCACACAGGCAGGGCAGGCUGAAGCAACUCCUCUGUGAAACUUUAUUCUACAGAAAUGCACGGGUAACAGUCGUCUGAGAUGAUUUUUGAUAGAAACAGGUUUUACUCUCACCUAUGAUAUGUGCUGAAAACCUUAAUUAAAGACUGAGUGUUCCCUCCAAUUAACAGUUAUCUAACUGGUCAUGGAGACUUCUCAUGAAGGUAGAUCUUGCUAGGGCUUACUGGGCUGGCUGCGUCUCUCUGGCUGGAUACUUUUUAUUUUGGUGAUUAGUCAGAUGACACUUGAACUUGAUUGAAUAAUUUUUUUUGCACUGAGCUUUGUUUCAUUCAUUUACAUAAUAAAGCAUUGAAAACAAAUGUUAAUGGCAGCGUACGCUUGUCCUGCUGUUACCUAUCUGAUACAUUAUAGGCCACAUGAUCAAGGGGCUGAAGGUUUGUGAAGCUAUGGAGCUGAGAAGGACUAUUAGCUGUUGUUAGAAGGGCUGAGUGCUAGUAGUGGUAAUGCCUGCGCUACGGAAGGGUUUCACGAGGAAAACUCAAAUGUGGGUGAUGGAGGAGAAUCUUAUUUUGGGAGAUUUCUGGGCCAAAUGCCUUCUAGCUGUGUCUGGUUUCUUGCUGGUGA
Strigops habroptila (Kakapo) is the source of this 1870-nucleotide long non-coding RNA. RefSeq lists it as uncharacterized. The record is from RefSeq and is a predicted model, not a curated record. The transcript has 2 exons. Lineage: Eukaryota; Metazoa; Chordata; Aves; Psittaciformes; Psittacidae.